ACAAGCCUAUGAUGGUUAGUUAUCCCUGUCUGAAAAUCUCAACUGAGGGAAAACAAUCUGCUCUGAGGCUUAA
RNAcentral lists this small nucleolar RNA (73 nucleotides) under Balaenoptera musculus (blue whale). RNAcentral's name for it is "Small nucleolar RNA R38 (ENSBMSG00010018843.1)". It matches the Rfam family "Small nucleolar RNA R38". From Rfam's summary of the family: snoR38 is a C/D box small nucleolar RNA conserved across yeast, human, Arabidopsis and rice. It is encoded in the intron of elongation factor-1 gamma in both pombe and cerevisiae. snoR38 guides the methylation of 2'-O-ribose sites in 28S rRNA. Lineage: Eukaryota; Metazoa; Chordata; Mammalia; Artiodactyla; Balaenopteridae. The record is from Rfam by way of RNAcentral.